This 323-nucleotide long non-coding RNA is filed under the name Citrus maxima (pomelo). RNAcentral's name for it is "long non-coding RNA (CMAX_LNC003970)". The record is from RNAcentral. Lineage: Eukaryota; Viridiplantae; Streptophyta; Magnoliopsida; Sapindales; Rutaceae.
CCAGUUAAGGACUGCUUCAAAAGGCUUGGGUUCUUCAAGAUGUCCACUGGAGGAAAUAGGAGAGUUGACAAAUGGUUUGCUCCAGACCUGGUGCUUUUGGUCUGAGCGUUUCUCAAGAGGUGGGUACUCAGAACUAUAAUCUGAGGCAGAGGCAGAUGAGAACAUCAUGCAGGACACCAUAGGAGGUGUAGGCAGAAGACCAGCCGAGGACCGGACUGGUUUGCAUGAUCUGGGCUGAUGUUUCUGGAUCCACUGAAGUCCUUUGUCGUAAAGUGGCAAAGGAGGUGGAUAAUCGGGUUCAUCAUCAUCAUCUUCGGGCAGAU